UGCGUAGGCGGGUCUUUAAGUCAGGGGUGAAAUCCUGGAGCUCAACUCCAGAACUGCCUUUGAUACUGAGGAUCUUGAGUCCGGGAGAGGUGAGUGGAACUGCGAGUGUAGAGGUGAAAUUCGUAGAUAUUCGCAAGAACACCAGUGGCGAAGGCGGCUCACUGGCCCGGUACUGACGCUGAGGCACGAAAGCGUGGGAGCAAACA
RNAcentral lists this ribosomal RNA (206 nucleotides) under uncultured bacterium. RNAcentral describes it as "partial 16S ribosomal RNA". It matches the Rfam family "Bacterial small subunit ribosomal RNA", at positions 568 to 774 of the family's 1533-position model. The record is from RNAcentral.